AUAGUUAAUUUUUAAUUCCAACAUCGAGGUCGCAAUCUUUUUUAUCAAUAAGAACUCUCCAAAAAAAUUACGCUGUUAUCCCUAAGGUAAUUUAAUCUAUUAAUCAUAAUAAAUGGAUCAUAAAUUCAUUAAUUAAUGUUAAAAAUAAAUAAAAGUUUUAUAAAUUUUAAAAUCACCCCAAUUAAAUUUAAUUAAAAAUUAUUAGCUUAAAAUUCUUAAAUCAAAUAAAUAUUAACUAAAUUAAACUCUAUAGGGUCUUCUCGUCUUUUAAUAUUAUUUAAGCUUUUUAACUUAAAAAUAAAAUUCUUUUAAAAUUACAAAUAGACAGUCUUUUUCUCAUUCAGCCAUUCAUACAAGCUUUCAAUUAAAAAACUAAUGAUUAUGCUACCUUUGUACAGUCAAAAUACUGCAGCUAUUUAAUUAAUCAUUGAGCAGACUAGACCUUAAAUCAUUAUCAAAAGGAC
This 464-nucleotide ribosomal RNA is filed under the name Cryptopleurum sp. KS-2013. Its description in RNAcentral is "partial 16S ribosomal RNA". The record is from RNAcentral. Lineage: Eukaryota; Metazoa; Arthropoda; Insecta; Coleoptera; Hydrophilidae.